UACGGGGGGGAGCAAGCGUUGUUCGGAUUUACUGGGCGUAAAGGGCGCGUAGGCGGCCACCGCAAGUCGACUGUGAAAUCUCCGGGCUUAACCCGGAAAGGUCAGCCGAUACUGCGGGGCUAGAGUGCAGAAGGGGGCAACUGGAAUUCUCGGUGUAGCGGUGAAAUGCGUAGAUAUCGGGAGGAACACCAGUAGCGAAGGCGGCACUCUGGGCCGGUACUGACGCUGAGGAGCGAAAGCGUGGGGAGCGAACAGG
This 256-nucleotide ribosomal RNA is filed under the name uncultured bacterium. Its description in RNAcentral is "partial 16S ribosomal RNA". It matches the Rfam family "Bacterial small subunit ribosomal RNA", at positions 524 to 776 of the family's 1533-position model. The record is from RNAcentral.